This 453-nucleotide ribosomal RNA is filed under the name uncultured Porphyromonadaceae bacterium. Its description in RNAcentral is "partial 16S ribosomal RNA". It matches the Rfam family "Bacterial small subunit ribosomal RNA", at positions 341 to 792 of the family's 1533-position model. Lineage: Bacteria; Pseudomonadati; Bacteroidota; Bacteroidia; Bacteroidales; Porphyromonadaceae. The record is from RNAcentral.
ACGGGAGGCAGCAGUGAGGAAUAUUGGUCAAUGGGCGAGAGCUUGAACCAGCCAAGUCGCGUGCGGGACGAAGGCCCUACGGGUCGUAAACCGCUUUUAUACGGGAAUAAAGUGCGCCACGUGUGGCGUUUUGCAGGUACCGUAGGAAUAAGGAUCGGCUAACUCCGUGCCAGCAGCCGCGGUAAUACGGAGGAUGCGAGCGUUAUCCGGAUUUAUUGGGUUUAAAGGGUGCGUAGGCGGGCUAUUAAGUCAGCGGUCAAAUCGUGUUGCUCAACAAUACUUAGCCGUUGAAACUGGUGGUCUUGAGUGUAAAUGAGGUAGGCGGAAUGUGACGUGUAGCGGUGAAAUGCUUAGAUAUGUCACAGAACCCCGAUUGCGAAGGCAGCUUACCAAGAUACAACUGACGCUGAGGCACGAAAGCGUGGGUAUCAAACAGGAUUAGAUACCCUGGUA